UGGGGAAUUUUGGACAAUGGGCGAAAGCCUGAUCCAGCAAUGCCGCGUGUGUGAAGAAGGCCUUCGGGUUGUAAAGCACUUUUGUCCGGAAAGAAAUCCUUGGCUCUAAUACAGUCGGGGGAUGACGGUACCGGAAGAAUAAGCACCGGCUAACUACGUGCCAGCAGCCGCGGUAAUACGUAGGGUGCAAGCGUUAAUCGGAAUUACUGGGCGUAAAGCUGCGCAGGCGGUUUGCUAAGACCGAUGUGAAAUCCCCGGGCUCAACCUGGGAACUGCAUUGGUGACUGGCAGGCUAGAGUAUGGCAGAGGGGGGUAGAAUUCCACGUGUAGCAGUGAAAUGCGUAGAGAUGUGGAGGAAUACCGAUGGCGAAAGGCAGCCCCCUGGGCCAAUACCGACGCUCAUGCACGAAAAGCGUGGGGAGCAAACAGGAUUAGAUACCCUGGUAGUCCACGCCCUAAAACGAUGUCAACUAGUUGUUGGGGGAUUCAUUUCCUUAGUAACGUAGCUAACGCGU
RNAcentral lists this ribosomal RNA (515 nucleotides) under uncultured bacterium. RNAcentral describes it as "partial 16S ribosomal RNA". It matches the Rfam family "Bacterial small subunit ribosomal RNA", at positions 355 to 860 of the family's 1533-position model. The record is from RNAcentral.